Molecule: microRNA precursor, 84 nt
Filed under: Chelydra serpentina (North American snapping turtle)
Lineage: Eukaryota; Metazoa; Chordata; Testudines; Chelydridae
Also listed under: 5 other names
Description: miRNA (ENSCSRG00000002477.1)
Rfam family: mir-122 microRNA precursor family (bases 5-77)
About the family: In mammals, miR-122 is enriched in liver cells where it has been implicated as a regulator of fatty-acid metabolism in mouse studies. The hairpin precursors (represented here) are predicted based on base pairing and cross-species conservation -- their extents are not known.
Source: RNAcentral
CUGCCAGAGCUGUGGAGUGUGACAAUGGUGUUUGUGUCCAAUCUAUCAAACGCCAUUAUCACACUAAAUAGCUACUGUUAGAUA